CCUACGGGAGGCAGCAGUGGGGAAUUUUCCGCAAUGGGCGAAAGCCUGACGGAGCCAGACCGCGUGGGGGAAGAAGGCUCUUGGGUUGUAAACCCCUUUUCUCAGGGAAGAAAAAAAUGACGGUACCUGAGGAAUAAGCAUCGGCUAACUCCGUGCCAGCAGCCGCGGUAAGACGGAGGAUGCAAGCGUUAUCCGGAAUGAUUGGGCGUAAAGCGUCCGCAGGUGGCGUUUCAAGUCUGCUGUCAAAGAGCAAGGCUCAACCUUGUCAAGGCAGUGGAAACUGGAGAGCUAGAGUGUGGUAGGGGUAGAGGGAAUUCCCAGUGUAGCGGUGAAAUGCGUAGAGAUUGGGAAGAACACCGGUGGCGAAAGCGCUCUACUGGACCAUAACUGACACUGAGGGACGAAAGCUAGGGGAGCGAAUGGGAUUAGAUACCCUUGUA
This 440-nucleotide ribosomal RNA is filed under the name uncultured bacterium. RNAcentral's name for it is "bacterial SSU rRNA". It matches the Rfam family "Bacterial small subunit ribosomal RNA", at positions 338 to 792 of the family's 1533-position model. The record is from RNAcentral.